UGCAGUCGAGCGGACAGAUGGGAGCUUGCUCCCUGAUGUUAGCGGCGGACGGGUGAGUAACACGUGGGUAACCUGCCUGUAAGACUGGGAUAACUCCGGGAAACCGGGGCUAAUACCGGAUGCUUGUUUGAACCGCAUGGUUCAAACAUAAAAGGUGGCUUCGGCUACCACUUACAGAUGGACCCGCGGCGCAUUAGCUAGUUGGUGAGGUAACGG
RNAcentral lists this ribosomal RNA (216 nucleotides) under Bacillus sp. LT13. RNAcentral describes it as "partial 16S ribosomal RNA". It matches the Rfam family "Bacterial small subunit ribosomal RNA", at positions 60 to 263 of the family's 1533-position model. Lineage: Bacteria; Bacillati; Bacillota; Bacilli; Caryophanales; Bacillaceae. The record is from RNAcentral.